CCCUUAGAUGUCCGGGGCCGCACGCGCGCUACACUGAAGGAAUCAGCGUGGCUUUCUCCCUGACCCGAAAGGGUUGGGAAACCCGUUGAAUCUCCUUCGUGAUAGGGAUUGGGGCUUGAAAUUGUUCCCCAUGAACGAGGAAUUCCCAGUAAGCGCGAGUCAUAAGCUCGCGUUGAUUACGUCCCUGCCCUUUGUACACACCGCCCGUCGCUACUACCGAUUGAACGGUUUAGUGAGGGCCUCGGAUUGGUCUCAGCCCGCUCUUUACCGGGCGGCGCCGUUGAUCGAGAAGACGCUCGAACUUGAUCGUUUAGAGGAAGUAAAAGUCGUAACA
Molecule: ribosomal RNA, 334 nt
Filed under: uncultured eukaryote
Lineage: Eukaryota
Description: partial 18S ribosomal RNA
Rfam family: Eukaryotic small subunit ribosomal RNA
Source: RNAcentral